ACGCUUGCCUGGCAGGGGAGACACCAUGGUCAUGCAGGUGGUUUUCCCAGGGCAAGGCUUACCCAUUGUGCUAAGGUGUGUUGACCCCUGUGAUUUCCCCGAAUGCGGGAAACUUGACUGUAUAACUGUAGUAGGGGGAACUGUGUUCAUGUUCUCCCUGU
Molecule: small nuclear RNA, 161 nt
Organism: Chionomys nivalis (European snow vole)
Lineage: Eukaryota; Metazoa; Chordata; Mammalia; Rodentia; Cricetidae
Product: U1 spliceosomal RNA
Exons: 1
Source: RefSeq, a predicted model, not a curated record